This 373-nucleotide ribosomal RNA is filed under the name uncultured bacterium. RNAcentral's name for it is "bacterial SSU rRNA". It matches the Rfam family "Bacterial small subunit ribosomal RNA", at positions 523 to 898 of the family's 1533-position model. The record is from RNAcentral.
AUACGGAGGGUGCAAGCGUUAUCCGGAUUCACUGGGUUUAAAGGGUGCGUAGGCGGGCAUAUAAGUCAGUGGUGAAAUCCCCGAGCUUAACUUGGGAACUGCCGUUGAUACUAUGUGUCUUGAAUAUCGCGGAGGUAAGCGGAAUAUGUCAUGUAGCGGUGAAAUGCAUAGAUAUGACAUAGAACACCGAUUGCGAAGGCAGCUUACUACACGAUCAUUGACGCUGAGGCACGAAAGCGUGGGGAGCAAACAGGAUUAGAUACCCUGGUAGUCCACGCCCUAAACGAUGGAUACUCGACAUACGCGAUAUACUGUGUGUGUCUGAGCGAAAGCAUUAAGUAUCCCACCUGGGAAGUACGACCGCAAGGUUGAA